This 1413-nucleotide ribosomal RNA is filed under the name Triticum aestivum (bread wheat). RNAcentral's name for it is "partial small subunit ribosomal RNA". The record is from RNAcentral. Lineage: Eukaryota; Viridiplantae; Streptophyta; Magnoliopsida; Poales; Poaceae.
AUGCAGGAUAAAAAUAUGCCGCUGAACCUCGUACCUGUUGCUGGAAUGAAAUUCACCACGUACGACAAGGCAUGGGACUUUUACAACAAUUAUGCAAGAUGUGCAGGGUUUGGUAUACGCGAGGGGGCAAAACACAGGACAAAUGCCUACAUUGUCUGCUCAAGAGAAGGGGUCCACAAGAAGGUUGUGUUAGAUUAUCACCGGGUACGUCAGAAGAAAUCAAAAAGGAUUGGCUGCAAUGCAAAGAUUAGAGUCAAAAAAAGGAAGGAUGGCAAAUUUGUGAUAGAAAUGGUUCAACUCAACCACAAUCACAAGAUGCUGGAAAGCCCCGGGAUGCUUUUGCACAUGCGAUCGCACAAAAAAGACGAUCCUUUGAUAGAUCAGUUAGUGAAAGACAUGCAACUGGACAACCACACACAUGCUCAGAUGAUGCCGACGCUGUCGCGUAGGUCCGGUGGUCUGUAGUACAUGGGACAUACUAGCCGCGACUGGGUAAACAGGAAACAGAAGUUUGCCAGAGAAGAGUCUGAAGAUGAUGUCAAGAAACUUCUGAAUUUCUUCGAGAAAAUGCAAAAGAUAAACCCAGAGUUCUUCUAUGAUUAUGACGCGAACGCAAGUUGCAGAGGAUCAUAUGAAGAUUUUGGAGACUGUGUUACAUUUGACACGAUGUAUAAAACUAACAAAUUCCACAUGCCGCUGGGAGUGUUUAUGGGGGUGAACCUGAAGGAAAUAAGCACCAUAUUUGCUGUUGCACUCGUGCGAGAUGAAACAAUACCAUCAUUUGAGUGGUGUUCUUCGAUGAAGGCAGCAUUAAAAACUAUCCUCCCACAAACUCUGCAUAAGCUGUGUCGGUGGCAUAUCAUGAAGAAGUACAAGGACCACCUCGCCUUGCUGUAUAAGGUGCACGAGAAGCUCAAGGACGAACUCAAUGCAGUGCUGAACCACCCACUAAUGCCGUCAGAAUUUGAACAAGCAUGGAAGAACCUCAUUCAGAGGUACAACUUGCAAGACGGCGAAAUGAUGAAUUCACUAUGGGAUGACAGGCCUUACUACAAGGAAAUUUUCUGUGCUCGGAUGACUUCCACACAGAGAAGCGAGAGCAUGAACCGCAUACUGAAGAAAAAUUUUGUCAGCGAGAAGCAUGAUCUCCAUCUGUUUGCUCAGUAGGUGGACAAGUGCAUUCAGACCAGGAAGGUCGUCGAGCACCCAGGGACAGUAGCAAAUGAGUCAGAGGUAAAAACAACAACAAAGUUUGGCUUCGAAGUUCAGCUAUCAAAAGUGUAUACAAGGGAAGUGUUUGCAGAUUUCAAAGAAACACUCUAUCGUAGCACUGCAUUCAGAGCAGAACGGUGCCCUGAGAACCCGACAAAGUAUCUCGUACACCACUACAACAGAUCGGAUGCAUUUGACUAG